RNAcentral lists this ribosomal RNA (433 nucleotides) under uncultured bacterium. RNAcentral describes it as "partial 16S ribosomal RNA". It matches the Rfam family "Bacterial small subunit ribosomal RNA", at positions 29 to 507 of the family's 1533-position model. The record is from RNAcentral.
AACGAACGCUGGCGGCAUGCCUAACACAUGCAAGUCGAACGAGACCUUCGGGUCUAGUGGCGCAUGGGUGCGUCACGCGUGGGAACCUUCCCUUAGGUUCGGAAUAACUCUCCGACAGGGGUGCUAAUACCGGAUAAUGUCUUCGGACCAAAGAUUUAUCGCCGUUGGAUGGGCCCGCGUUGGAUUAGCUAGUUGGGAGGGUAAAAGCCUACCACGGCGACGAUCCAUAGCUGGUCUGAGAGGCUGGUCAGCCACACUGGGACUGAGACACGGCCCAGACUCCUGCGGGAGGCAGCAGAGGGGGAUAUAGGACAAUGGGCUGAAGCCUGAACCAGCAAUGCCGCGUAAGUGCUGAAGUCCUUAGGGAUGUAAAGCUCUUUUACCCGGGAUGAUAAUGACGGUACCGAAAGAAUAAGCUCCGGCUAACUCCGUG